AAAGAAAAAGCUCAUAGAGCAUCUUUUUUACAAAAAGAAGGGUUGAUCUUUA
This 52-nucleotide transfer RNA is filed under the name Leipothrix sp. 1 XFX-2017. RNAcentral's name for it is "tRNA-Val". The record is from RNAcentral. Lineage: Eukaryota; Metazoa; Arthropoda; Arachnida; Trombidiformes; Eriophyidae.